AGAGUUUGAUCAUGGCUCAGAAUGAACGUUGGCGGCGUGGAUUAGGCAUGCAAGUCGUACGGGCCGCAAGGCCAGUGGCGCAAGGGUGAGUAAGGCGACGGUAACCAACCCCACGGGUGGGUAUAGCCGCGGGAAACCGCGGGUAAUCCCCAGCGACGCACGGCCUUGGCAUCGAGGCCUUGCCAAAGCUCAGGCGCCGUGGGACGGGCCGCCGUGGUAUUAGGUAGUUGGCGGGGUAACGGCCCACCAAGCCGACGAUGCCUACCGGGCGUGCGAGCGUGGCCCGGCACACUGGGACUGAGACACUGCCCAGACUCCUACGGGAGGCUGCAGUCGAGAAUCUUCGGCAAUGGGCGCAAGCCUGACCGAGCGACGCCGCGUGGAGGAUGAAGGCCUUCGGGUUGUAAACUCCUGUCGAGGGGGAAGAAGGGCCGAGAGGCCUUGACUGAUCCCUGGAGGAAGCACGGGCUAAGUUCGUGCCAGCCGCCGCGGUAAUAC
Molecule: ribosomal RNA, 498 nt
Filed under: uncultured bacterium
Lineage: Bacteria
Description: bacterial SSU rRNA
Rfam family: Bacterial small subunit ribosomal RNA
Source: RNAcentral